GGAAUAUGAAGGGAGAAUGAAACAAAACUGCUCCGCUCAGGGAACUUGGAAAGGAAAUUGAAAAGGCAAGGCACAGGCUGGAAGAAAAUAUUUGAAAAAGAUUUAUGUGAACUUCUUUCUGGAUUAUACAAAAUAUUUUUAGAUAUUCUUACAACUCUAAAAUAAGAUAACUCCUUAAAAAUGUGAAUUCUACCAAAGGAGAGAUGAAGAUGACGAAUAUAUUCAAAGAUGCUGAAAAUCACUUAUUUAUUAUUAGGAAGUUACAAGCUAAAGCAUAAUGAGAUACCACUACAACCUACUAAACUGACUAAAAUUAAUCAGACUAACCAGGUGUUGGCAAGAAACAGGGACACUGAGACUCUCACACUGCUGGAAGGAAUGUAAAAUGCUAAAACUUCUUUGGAAAUGAGUUCAGUAACUUUUUAAACAGUUGAAAAUAGACCUAUCAUGCAAACCAGCAAUCCCACUUCUAGGUAUUUAUACAAGGAAAAUGACAACAUAUGCCCACAUAAAGACUUGUGCACAAAUGACGGUAGCAGCUUUGUGAUAAUUGCUAAAAACUAGAAACUUGUCAAGUGUCCAACAGUCUAUAUGAGUCUCUUUGACACAAGUCUCUGGUACAGAUGAAGACCAGAGAGCUUGGGAGUCACUGCUGAAGAGAAGAGUGAAUGAGUAAACAAAGGUAGAUGAGACAAAGAACAUACCGAAUGUCAGGAUUCAGAUGGGACUGCUGUAUGAUAUUAAUGAACACAGAUAUCUGGAGAAACCAUGUCAAAGCUUUCCAAGAGAGACUGUGAACAGUACCUGGGGAACACCAAAAA
RNAcentral lists this non-coding RNA (821 nucleotides) under Pan troglodytes (chimpanzee). Lineage: Eukaryota; Metazoa; Chordata; Mammalia; Primates; Hominidae. The record is from RNAcentral.